Molecule: long non-coding RNA, 916 nt
Filed under: Pongo abelii (Sumatran orangutan)
Lineage: Eukaryota; Metazoa; Chordata; Mammalia; Primates; Hominidae
Description: lincRNA
Source: RNAcentral
GGCGCCGCCGAUCAUUGCGGGGCUUAUUUUGGUUCUAAAGCCCGGGGCAGCCCGGCCUCCCUGCCUGGCCUCGGCGGGGACCCGGAACCUGGGGCCCCGGACCGGGCCUGACCGCCCUGGCCGGUCCCCACUGAUGGUGGCGGUCGGUCCUGACUGUCCUGAUGGCAGCGACCAGGCUGGACUCGGGCUGUGCGGGGGCGAGGGGAGCAGCGCGGGGUGACGCCCGGAGAGCGGCCUGGAGAGCGCGUGCCUCAGAAGGCGCGGGCACCCUGUCCCCUUGCAGAUGGGGACGCGGGCCCUGGUGGCCGUGGAGGGGAGGAGGGGCGUGGACGCUGCGGGGCAGAGGAAGCUGGAAGUUUGGCUGCUGUAACUGACUGGGAAGCUUAAAAUAACAGACAAUCAUCUCUCACAUUUAUGGGGACUGGGAAGUCCAAGACCAAGUUGCCAUCUGGGGAGGGCCCGUUCCUCACAGCGCCUUCCAGCUCAGGCCUCAUUUAUAAGGGUACUCAUCCCAUCCACGACAAUGGGUCCUCAUGACUUACUCACCUCGGAAAGCCCCCACCCCCUAAGACCAUCACAUUGUGGGUGAGGAUUUCAACAUAGGAAUUUGGGGGCUGCAAACAAUUACACCAUGGCAGAGCAUAAGGUGCCUUCCCCCACGUGCUCGGGUAGACCCAGCGUCUCAUGCUAGCAGCUACGUGGAAUUGUUAUUUUUUCUGGAGAACUCUGGGACCCCUCUGAUGUCUUGGAGCACCUGCACAGGCCAUUCACUGUCUGAUGUCUUGGAGCACCUGCACAGGCCAUUCACUGUGCACGCUGUGAGGCCGUCCUCUGGGGAGUUCUGCUGUUCUGUGGGUUCUGUCUGUAUCAGUGUCCCAGCGGGAAUGCAGGGCACAUUAGCGUCGUCCCCAGAGGG